GACGAACGCUGGCGGCGUGCUUAACACAUGCAAGUCGAACGGAAAGGCCCUGCUUUUGUGGGGUGCUCGAGUGGCGAACGGGUGAGUAACACGUGAGUAACCUGCCCUUGACUUUGGGAUAACUUCAGGAAACUGGGGCUAAUACCGGAUAGGAGCUCCUGCUGCAUGGUGGGGGUUGGAACGUUUCGGCGGUUGGGGAUGGACUCGCGGCUUAUCAGCUUGUUGGUGGGGUAGUGGCUUACCAAGGCUUUGACGGGUAGCCGGCCUGAGAGGGUGACCGGCCACAUUGGGACUGAGAUACGGCCCAGACUCCUACGGGAGGCAGUAGUGGGGAAUAUUGCACAAUGGGCGGAAGCCUGAUGCAGCAACGCCGCGUGCGGGAUGACGGCCUUCGGGUUGUAAACCGCUUUCGCCUGUGACGAAGCGUGAGUGACGGUAAUGGGUAAAGAAGCACCGGCUAACUACGUG
This 468-nucleotide ribosomal RNA is filed under the name uncultured bacterium. RNAcentral's name for it is "partial 16S ribosomal RNA". It matches the Rfam family "Bacterial small subunit ribosomal RNA", at positions 28 to 507 of the family's 1533-position model. The record is from RNAcentral.